UCUGUCUAGGCUUUGAACUGGCUCAAUUUCUCCUUCCAUUCCUUUAAAACGGUUGAAUUCAAAAUUCCUAAACAUUAUACUAUAAUAUUCCGCUUUUAUAUAGCGCUUAAAUGUCUCUAAGCACUUUACAGAUAUUCUGUAAUAUCUAUAAUCUAUUAUGACGAGUUGUUUAGAACAAUUUAAUUGACAAGGAACCUUCAAAUGAUUUCUUUAGAGUGACUGAAUACUUUUCAUUGUCAGGGGUGUCCCAAAAUGAAUACAUUAUCGAAUUUUUGUUCGAGUAGUUGUACUUUGAACAAGGGGGCUCUCACUGUUUGCGUUUGCUCACGCCGAGUUUAAAUGCGGAAGCUUACUUGUGGGAAUUCCAACUAAUAAUAGAACCAAUGCGCAUGCGGGCGAUCUUUAGACGUAAAAGUGAAUAUGAUUUAAUACAGUGUCAUUAGAAUGGGUCGUUAUGCGUUUUGACAACGCGUGCAAUAUGAUGCGUAAAACUGGCAUUUAACGAAGUGCAGCCUUUUCGGGAUGUGACGAGUUUAAACUCCAGUCGAUGACCCGCGAUAAUUUAAAUUUGAGAUUGACAUCAUUGAUUUAUUUGAAGCGGAUAUACCGGUAGAUCUGCACUCAUUCAGCAAACGGAGUAGGUCUACAUAUGCACCACCAAUACUAUAGUCACAGUUUGUAAGAAGAAUGGCAACCCCCCGAAUGUUCAAAGUUUGGCACGCAGAUAAGAAACUUGUAUUGGCAACAUCACUGGAUGAGCUGAUAGACAAAGGUCUCACAAAGCUGCAAAAGACAAAAGAGAAUUUCAAGUGCCUGAGAUUGUCUGACGGCACAAUUGUAGACAAUGAUGAAUUGUUUGCCUUCCUGCAAGAAUCCGAACCAAUCCACUUUGUUUUCUCUGAUAAAGAAGUGCCAUCAACAUCUGCAUGUAGGCCUACUGGUGCAUCUGACCAGGGA
Molecule: long non-coding RNA, 957 nt
Organism: Strongylocentrotus purpuratus (purple sea urchin)
Lineage: Eukaryota; Metazoa; Echinodermata; Echinoidea; Camarodonta; Strongylocentrotidae
Exons: 3
Source: RefSeq, a predicted model, not a curated record